UGUAGCCCAUUAAUAAAAUUUCUCCUUUUUCUCUCGAUCUCCACAGUCGACGGUUUCCUCUCAUCUUUUGUAGUUUUCUCUUUUGCUCCAAUGGAGGUUUCUCAAUCCAAAUCAAUUCUACAUUUUCAACAUGGCAUCAGAGCGUAUAUCCGUUGCGCGCCUCUGAUUACCUCUAUCUUCUCUAUCCUUUUUUGAUUUUUCGUUUGCCUUUUUUUCAUAGAGCUAGGGUUAGUGAUUUCAUGAGAAUUUUCUGCUGAUUGUUUCGGGAGAGUUCUUCAGGACGGAUAUGUUGUUGUUUCCCGCCGUAGUUCUUCCGCAAAGUCUGUCAGUUGUUUCACAACAAAGAACUCUUCUAGGGGCAGAAGAUGCUCAGUUCCAGCAAAAUGAUUGUUUGCAAUUGAUCAAGUUCAUCUUUCCUUGACAUGGAGUUAGAAUAAAUCUUAGUUGCUUGUAGUUCUCUUCUUAGUUUGAUACUUCAUUUCCAAGAUGGUAGCAUUUAUUUUGCUUCCAUCUUGAUGGGAGUGUUGAAAUUAAAAAUAAAAAUGUAAUUAGUUGAUAUUGUUUUCCUUUAUUAGUUAGUAUUUAGCAUUUUGUUUGUUUGUAUUUGUGCCUAUAUAUAAGGCCUUCUUUGUAUUUUUCAAUUAACACUUAGUAAAAAUGUAGCCCAUUAAUAAAAUUUCUCUUUUUUCUCUCCA
Salvia splendens (bonfire salvia) is the source of this 695-nucleotide long non-coding RNA. RefSeq lists it as uncharacterized. Lineage: Eukaryota; Viridiplantae; Streptophyta; Magnoliopsida; Lamiales; Lamiaceae. The record is from RefSeq and is a predicted model, not a curated record. The transcript has 2 exons.